CACAGGUCAUGCCUUGUAUUCAGCUGUAAAGCUAAUACUUCUUAAAAAUCCAAAUUAUUGUAAACCUAACAGUAUGCUUUCAGAAAACUAAUCUAUUUCAGGGCAAUGACAAACCUGCGGACUACAGCCCCAGUUGUUUAGACUAGGGAUGUCUACUGUAGCAGUUCUAUUCUGCCUGAUAGUGAGUGUAAGGUGUUGCACUUGUACUGUGUUAACUUUGGCUUUUCAAGGUCUCCCAUGUACAGGAGGCACAUACCUGUCAUCAUACUGACCUGACAUAUAUACCACUGAUGUACAGAUAGGAAGAGACAUACAUGGAGAUCAGUGGCUUUAGAGUCCAGGGCCCAGACACACUUAAUCGGCAUUGUAACACAAGUGCGUAGGUGUCGGGCGAAUGCGAAGGAGUAACCUGCGUGUCAGCUGUUAAUAGUUGUUUGUAGUGGGAGUUGAACUGGUAAUGUUAAAUGUGUGGUGGAUCCUAACCCUGUGGGGAGAGAACUUCCUGGGGUUCAUUGUCUAGCUGCAUAGCAACUAGACAACACAGGUAAAGUUUGCUGCAGUUCAUUUGCUCGAGCAAUGACCACUAAGGCUGGCAAGUUGCAAAAUGGCCACCCUGAAAGGGUGGGGCGGUCUGUUAGACUGUUUACAACAAGGCAAUGCUACAGGGUUAACAGAAGCCAUACUUGGGCAGUGCUUCACAGAUCUUCAUAACAGUAUAUUUCUAUUAAGUUGAACUAGCACUUUUUAAAAGCGAACAGUUCAGUAAGAGUACCAUUACAAUAGCCUAGCAAGACCUUGCAGCGGUAGAUACUUCUUAAGGACACGAUCACUGUACUUAGAACAAUGGCUUUUUUAGUCUUAUCCUGUUCCUUGUUGUAGCUUAUGUUACAGCACACAGUUGCUGCAUUUAAUUCAGAAACUGGGUAACAUAGUUAAAAGGAUUACUUGACCCAAGUGAAGGCUUAGCUAUCAUUCUGCCUUGUGGUCAGUGGCAUUGCUAGGCCGCAGGUCAUGCCUUGCAUUGAGCUGCAAAGCUCAUACUUCUUAAUAAUCGAAAUCAUUGUUAACCUAACAGUAUGCUAUCAGAAAACUAUUCUGUUUCAGUCCAAUAACAAACAUGCUCACUACAAACCCUAGCAUUUGGUGUAAGCCUGACUGGGUAUGGAUUCAUGUGUGGACUUGUUCCCUCAUUGUAGCACCAGUGUAAUGCUAAGUUGACCUGGAUUAAUUUGUGGGCCUGUGCUGUACCCAUAGGUCUUUGUAUAGGAGGAGAAGAAAACCCCUGGCCUUAAUAUGUUUGUAAGGAGUGCUUCGUUGAAUUUCCCAUACCUACUGAGCUCACCUACGAUGUUAGUAGGUCAACCCAUAAAUUUCCCAGGUGUGCACUUUGCGGUGUGUGCAGGUGCUAGGUAGCAACUAGUUGUCUAUUGUACUUGUUAUCUCUUUUGUCAUGUGACCGGCAAUUGAAACCAACAUAUAAAAGGUUUGCUUUGAUUGCGUGCCGUGGACAGGCCCAGUGCCUCCCUCCUCCAGCUGGUUGUACAGAAAGGUGCCUGACCACGUCGUGAUGAAAUCACAGAGCGAUGCUUCUUUCUUCCGCGGCAUUACCACUUGUUGGACUUGGAUUCAUUUCCGAUUCUGUUCCCUCACCCUACCACUUGGCAGCAGUCUAAGUGGUCCCGGAUUAGUUUGUGCACCUGUUCCCUCACCCUAGCACUCGGCGUAACCGAUGCUGGGCCCGGAUUCAUUUCUGACUCCGAUCCCUAAUCCUAGCACUUGGACUCACCCUAACUAAGUGGGUUGGCAUUUGUUUCAAAAUCUGUUUCCUAACCCUAACCGUUGCCCUAGCCAUCACGGGACUUUGAUUCAUUUGUGGACCCGUUCUGUCCCAGUAGCACUCGGCCUAACCGUCCCUGGCCCUGGAUUCCUUCCUGAAUCUAUUCCCUAACCCUACCAGUCGGACUAACCCUAACUGUCCCCGGAUUCUUUUUUGAAUCCGUUCUCCAAUCCUAGCACUUGGCGUAACCCUAAGUGGAGUUUGAUUCCUUUUUGAAUAUGUUUCCUAAUCCUAGCAACUGCUGUACCCCUAACGGGACCCAGAUUUGUUUGUGGACCCGUUUUGUCCCCACUACCACUCGGCGUAACCCUCACUGGGGCUGGAUUCAUUUCUGAAUGUGUUCCAUAACUGUAGCGCUUGGCGUAACCUUAACGGGGCCUGGAUUCAGCUUGGAGUGCAUUCCCUAAGCUUGGCACUCCAAAUAACAAUAAGUGGACUCAGAUUCGUUUUGGAAUCCGUUCCCUAACCCUAGCACUUUGCCUAACCCUAACCGACCCCGGAUUUGUUGUUGAAUCUGUUCGCUAACCGUACCAGUUGUCGUAACUCUAACUCGAUCUGGAUGUGUUUCUGAAUACCUUCCCUAACCGUACCACUUGCUGUAACUAUAAUUGGGCCUGGAUUUGUUGGCGGUUAUGUUCCCUAACCCUAGCACUUGGUGUAACCGUCGCUGGGGCGGGAUUCUUUUCUGAAUCUGUUCCCUAACCCUAGUCCUUGGCCUAACAGUUAAUGGACUCAGCUUCACUUGUGGACCCGUUCUGUCUCUGUAGCAUUUGGCCUAACCUUAACUGGUGCUGGAUUCAUUUGUGGACCUGUUCCCUAACUGUAGCACUUGGUGCAAGCCUAACAAACCCUGUAUUUGUUUAUUAGUCCGUUCCCUAACCCUAGCAGUCAGCGUAAGCGUAACUAGCCCCUGAUUCUUUUCUGCAUCUGUGUUGUACCCGUCGGAUUUAGUGUAACCUUAAGCGUACUUGGAUUCAUUUAUCAAUCUGUUCCCUAACCCUGGCCCUUGGCCUUUCCUUGGAUUCUGAAAUCUCUAAAGGGGUUAUUGGUGGAGGAUUGUCUGUGCAGCUCAGGAAAGCAGCUCAAGCUCACGUCUCCCGAGCUUCUGAAAUAAUCCGUAGGCUGCUUGCCUUGUUUGUACGUAUGAAAAUGGUUUAAGAUGACAGGGGUAACAAGACAGUCUACAGUAAAGCAUAUAGAAAGCUGGGGAAUAGUGUGGGUGUUUUGUGUGGUAUUGCUGACCAAGGGUGGGACGAAAUAUUUUUGAGCGCUGUGUUUUAGUGCCAAAGUUCCUGUGUGUGAAAGAAUAUGAGUCGCUGACCCGCUCUGAGAUGAAGGUUGGGUCUAGGCGCCCCACGGCUGUCUAGAAAGGCAGAGUUGGAAGCAAGGGGGCCCAGCUGGAACCUUGUGACGCAGUGGACAGUUUUAUCCUCUCCGCAUCCACGGUAAUUGUCCAGGUAAGUGGCGGUGUGGGUUCCCAACCUACUGGGAUUAACAGCCAUUUAGCUUAUGAUCUUGUGUCACAGUAUUGUCAAGCAUUACUAAAGUGUGUCAGGUCCGUUCAUUUUCAGGUCCAAGAAGAUUUACGUUAACCACCGGAUGUUUCCUGUCAGAAUCUCAUACCAGGUGAUUGGAUUUAUGUAAAGGUCCAUCAUUGGAAAAAUGUGCUUCAACUGACACGGAAUGGACUGUUCCAGGUGGUUUGGCCCACUAACACUGCUGUUUGUUGCCCAGGUCUCUCGACGUGGACUUGCACUGUAAAAAGGUAUCACCUCUAUUGGACCCUAGAGCAGUUGAAUUGCAACCUGGGCUAAGACCUUUCCCUGAGGCGAAGGACAAACAGCGGCAAGAUCUUAGUCUGGAAAAUGAGGAGUAUCAGGGUGCAAGUGCUAGUAACCUCUCCCCUGAACCCAGCACUGCAGCCUGGCCAGAUUCACCAGUUGGCGAUGGAAGAUAUUAUCUCUGAGCCCAAUGAAUAAUGUCCAGACUUUAUACGUGUCUAUCCCGGAUGGUUCUAGUGCUAUUGAGCAUGUGGCCCAAAGUAUAGAGAAAGAAGUGGCUACAGUUUAUGAAACUGAUGAAUGGAGUGUGUGCAGCUGUUUUGUCACAUUUGGGGCCAAAAGAUUUUGUAGUGCAAUCAUGGUCCUGCAGUUUAUUCUCUUUCUCCAACUGUUCUUCUUAUUGCUAUGCAAUUGGUACCUUAGUUGAUCCCAACAAAGGUGCAAAAAUUCUGUCUAAUGUGAUACUGGGUCAAUUGCAAGUAGUCUGUCAAUUGUUCUCAAGGGAGCGUUGACAGAUACUGUAGCUAAGACGAAGCGUGACUGUGCCUCGCAGGAUGCAUAAAUCAUAGUGUUUUGAUAUUGGUGCAUUUUGCAGUUGGUCAGCCAACAGAAGGUUACACAUUGUAUCAGCUGUAGUAUAAGUACAGAAACGGGGCAAUGUAGAAGAAAAGCCCAGCCCUUAAUAUGGAUCUAAGAAGUGCUGUGUGGAAUUUUCCAGAGCAACGGAGCAGAUCUAUGGCGUUAGUAGGUAACCCCAUAAUUUUCCUGUGUUGCCCGGUUCUAGGUGCCAGCUAGUUAUCUGGUCACCUUGACUGUGUCGUCUGUCAAGUGACAUGACAUUUAAACAUCUAAAAGGUUUGCAUUGAUUUUCUGUGCUGGGAUUGUUCACUGCCUCCCUGCUGCAGCAGCUUGUGAACAAAGGUGUCUGGCAAAUCUGUGACUAACUAACAGAGUGAUGCUUGUGUCUUUCACAGUGUUACCCCUCCCUGGACACGGAUUCAUUGCUGAAUUUGUUCGGUAAUCCUAGCACUCGGCCUAAUCCUAAGGGGGUCUGGAUUCAUUUCUGACUCGGUGGUGUCACCCUGCAGUUGGGAUACCUCUGCCAACGUUCCUGUUUGUGAAAGAAUAAUGAGUCGCUGACCUGGUCUGAGAUGAAGGUUGGAUCUAGCCGCGCCACGGCUGUCUAGAAAGGCAGAGUUGGAAGGAAGGGGGCCCAGGUGGAACCUUGUGACCCAGUGGACAGCUUGAUCCUCUCCGCAUCCAUGGUAAUUGUGCAGGUGCGAGAAGAUUUACGUUCACCACCAGAUGUUUCCUGUCAAUGUCAUACCAGGUGAUUGGAUUUAUGUAAAGGUCCAUCAUUGGAAAAAUGUGCUUCAACUGACAUGGAAUGGACUGUUGCAGGUGCUCUGGACCAGUAACACUGCCGUUUGUUGCCAAGGUCUCUAGACAUGGACCUGCACUGGAAAAAGGUAUCACCUCUAUUGGACCCUGAAACAGUUGCAUUGCUACCUGGGCUAAGACCUUUCCCUGAGGCCAAGGACACAGAGCAUCAAGAUCUUAGUCUGGAAAAUGAGGAGUAUCAGGGUGCAAGUGCUAGUAACCUCUCCCCUGAACCCAGCACUGCAGCCUGGCCAGAUUUACCAGUUGGCGAUCGAAGAUAUUAUCUCUUAGCCCAACGAAUAAUAUCCAGACUUUAUACGUGUAUAUCCCAGAUGGUUGUAGCGCUAUUGAGCAUGUGGCUGAAAGUAUAGAGAAAGAAGUUGCUAAAGUUUAUGAAACUGAUGAAUGGAGUGUGUGCAGCUGUUUUGUCACAUUUGGGGCCAAAGGAUUUUGUAGUGCAAUCAUGGUCCUCGAGUUUAUUCUCUCUCUACAACUGUUCCUCUUUAUUGCUAUGGAAUUGGUACCUUAGUAGAUCCCAACAAAGGUGCAAAAAUUCUGUCUAAUGUGAUACUGGGUCAACUGCAAGUAGUCUGUCAAUUGUUGUCAAGGGAGCAUUGACAGAUACUGUAGCUAAGAACAAGUGUGACUGUGCCUCGCAGGAUGCAUAAAUCAUAAUGUUCUGAUAUGGGUGCAUUUUGCAGUUUGUCAGCCGAGAAAAGGUUACAAAUUGUAUCAGUUGUAUUAUAAGUACAGAAACGGGGCAAUGUAGAAGAAAAGCCCAGCCCUUAAUAUGGUUCAAAGAAGUGCUGUGUGGAAUUUUCCAUAGCAACGGAGCAGAUCUAUGGCGUUAGUAGGUAACCCCAUAAUUUUCCUGUGUUUCCCGGUUCUAGGUGCCAGCUAGUUAUCUGGUCACCUUGACUGUGUCGUCUGUCAAGUGACAUGACAUUUAAACAUCUAAAAGGUUUGCAUUGA
This is a long non-coding RNA of Alligator mississippiensis (American alligator), 5970 nucleotides long. RefSeq lists it as uncharacterized. The record is from RefSeq and is a predicted model, not a curated record. NCBI's taxonomy places the organism in Eukaryota, Metazoa, Chordata, Crocodylia, Alligatoridae. The transcript is spliced from 3 exons.